RNAcentral lists this ribosomal RNA (318 nucleotides) under uncultured eukaryote. RNAcentral describes it as "partial 18S ribosomal RNA". It matches the Rfam family "Eukaryotic small subunit ribosomal RNA", at positions 1470 to 1796 of the family's 1831-position model. The record is from RNAcentral.
CCCUUAGAUGUUCUGGGCCGCACACGCGCUACACUGAAGGAGGCAGCGUGUACUCCUGGAUCGAAAGAUUUGGGUAACCCGCGAAUCUCCUUCGUGCUAGGGAUUGAGGUUUGCAAUUAUCCUUCAUGAACGAGGAAUUCCUAGUAAACGCAAGUCAUCAGCUUGCAUUGAUUACGUCCCUGCCCUUUGUACACACCGCCCGUCGCACCUACCGAUUGAAUGGUCCGGUGAAAUCUCGGGACGGCGGCUUGGUCGCUUGCGUCCGACUGCUGAAACUUGAUUAAACCAUAUCAUUUAGAGGAAGGUGAANUCGUANCA